UACGUAGGGGGCUAGCGUUGUCCGGAAUCAUUGGGCGUAAAGAGCGCGUAGGCGGCCAGAUAAGUCCGGUGUGAAAGUCACAGGCUCAACCUGUGAAUGCCGCUGGAAACUGUCUGGCUUGAGGCCGGGAGGGGGUAGCGGAAUUCCCAGUGUAGCGGUGAAAUGCGUAGAUACUGGGAGGAACACCAGUGGCGAAGGCGGCUACCUGGACCGGUUCUGACGCUGAGGCGCGAAAGCGUGGGUAGCAAACAGG
This 253-nucleotide ribosomal RNA is filed under the name uncultured bacterium. RNAcentral describes it as "partial 16S ribosomal RNA". It matches the Rfam family "Bacterial small subunit ribosomal RNA", at positions 524 to 776 of the family's 1533-position model. The record is from RNAcentral.